Molecule: ribosomal RNA, 659 nt
Filed under: Metabacillus halosaccharovorans
Lineage: Bacteria; Bacillati; Bacillota; Bacilli; Caryophanales; Bacillaceae
Description: bacterial SSU rRNA
Rfam family: Bacterial small subunit ribosomal RNA
Source: RNAcentral
GGGUGAGUAACACGUGGGUAACCUGCCUGUAAGAUUGGGAUAACUCCGGGAAACCGGAGCUAAUACCGGAUAACAUUUUGAACCGCAUGGUUCAAAAUUGAAAGACGGCUUUUAGCUGUCACUUACAAAUGGACCCGCGGCGCAUUAGCUAGUUGGUGAGGUAACGGCUCACCAAGGCAACGAUGCGUAGCCAACCUGAAAGGGUGAUCGGCCACACUGGGACUGAAACACGGCCCAAACUCCUACGGGAGGCAGCAGUAGGGAAUCUUCCGCAAUGGACAAAAGUCUGACGGAGCAACGCCGCGUGAACAAUGAAGGCCUUCGGGUCGUAAAGUUCUGUUGUUAGGGAAAAACAAGUACCAAAGUAACUGCUGGUACCUUGACGGUACCUAACCAAAAAGCCACGGCUAACUACGUGCCAGCAGCCGCGGUAAUACGUAGGUGGCAAGCGUUGUCCGGAAUUAUUGGGCGUAAAGCGCGCGCAGGCGGUUUCUUAAGUCUGAUGUGAAAGCCCACGGCUCAACCGUGAAGGGUCAUUGGAAACUGGGAAACUUGAGUGCAGAAGAGGAGAGUGAAAUUCCACGUGUAGCGGUGAAAUGCGUAGAGAUGUGGAGGAACACCAGUGGCGAAGGCGACUCUCUGGUCUGUAACUGACGCUG